GGGCUCACACAAGCGGUGGAGCAUGUGGCUUAAUUCGAGGCAACGCGAAGAACCUUAUCCUGGGUUUGACAUGUACGGAUGGCUCGCCUGAAAGGGAUGAGUCUGCCUUCGGGUGAAACGUACACAGGUGCUGCAUGGCUGUCGUCAGCUCGUGUCGUGAGAUGUAGGGUUAAGUCCUUAAACGAGCGCAACCCUUGUCCUUAGUUGCCAGCAUUUAGUUGGGCACUCUAGAGAGACUGCCGGUGAUAAACCGGAGGAAGGUGUGGAUGACGUCAAGUCAUCAUGCCCCUUACAUCCUGGGCUACACACGUACUACAAUGGUAAGGACAAUGAGCUGCGAUCCUGCGAAGCUAGCC
Molecule: ribosomal RNA, 356 nt
Filed under: uncultured bacterium
Lineage: Bacteria
Description: bacterial SSU rRNA
Rfam family: Bacterial small subunit ribosomal RNA
Source: RNAcentral